ACCAUAGUCCCUCUAUGUUUUCUUAUCUUUCAACUUAGCUAGUUAAUUCUCGCAUAGUGCCUUUGAUAGAACUUAUUCAACCAACCUGUUAUUCACCCUCCUUUAUCAUAAUCUAAAGUUACCAGUUCCAUCAAACUUCUUUACUAUGAACCUUGUUGCAGUUGGUGUUCUUUGUUCUUAUUGCUAGUAGGCUUCAGAACCCCACUGAGAAUUUAUUUUAGUGUUUGUUUAGAGACAGUCAACAAUUCAUCUCCUUGAUCUUGUCUACGAGCCUCUUCCUCAAUUCAUAGACAAGUGACCAGAGAUUCUAAAGAGAAUUCUUUGGUCUUAUGUCUAAGAAGGUUUUUGAAGUCCUUCCAGUCAAGAGGCAAUUUGUAAAUAAUGACAGCCACUUGAAAUUUCUCAUCCAGGAGCAUACACUCAUAUAUGAUUUCAUGAGCAUUCUUUUGCAUCUCAUAAUAUUGAGGCUCUACUGACUUAUCACCAGUCAUUUGAUACUUGCUGUAGUGACUAACAACACACAUUUUAGUUCCAGCUUCUUCAUUAUCAUGUUUCUUGUUAAGUGCAAACCAAAUUAAUUUCACAAACUUAUAUGAACUGUAAUAAUCAUAACGAUCAUUAGACA
This 625-nucleotide long non-coding RNA is filed under the name Lupinus angustifolius (narrow-leaved blue lupine). RNAcentral's name for it is "long non-coding RNA (LANG_LNC003315)". The record is from RNAcentral. Lineage: Eukaryota; Viridiplantae; Streptophyta; Magnoliopsida; Fabales; Fabaceae.